GGGCUUCCCCUGGAUGAUGGUGGGGAUGGCUUCAGAUAACGGUCUUUGUUUUUGUGAAAAGGUCACAAUCAUUUCUUUAGUUUUGUCAAUGUUGGCUCUGGUGCAUAUAUUAUCAAACGCUUUGUCAACCAGUAGUCAGCCAACCACCAGGAGGCGAACACAUGGUUAGGGCUUCAUUUAACUGCCCAAAUAACAAGCGAGCGCACCCUGCAGCGGCAGCCUGAAAUCACUCAGUGGACUGGGCUGAUGAGAGCGAGUCAUGUCGAGAGAGGAAAGUACAGUGGCAACUGGAGAUGAGGAGCAUCAUGGUGAGGAGCUAGUGCCUCGAAACGGAUCAACAUCCAUUGUCUGGACUUGUUUCGGAUUCAGGGCAAGUGACGUUAAACAAGAACAAGUCAUAUGUAAAGAGUGUAGCAGAGUUGUGUCUGCCCCGCACAGUAACACAACUAAUCUGUUUAACCAUCUGAAAAAACAUCACAAACACAAAUACGAGGAAUGCAUAAAGGCUAAAGCUAACGUAGAUUCACAAAAUCCCCGUCCGUGUCCAGCGGCAACCCUGACAACCAUUACAGCGACCCUGCAUCGGGCAACACAGUAUCCAGCUACCUGCCAAAGACACAGAGAUAACGUACUCAAUAUAGUUUUAUUAGACCAAAGACACGUGUCCAAUAAAUACAGUGAGCAACGAGGGCUUCAGAAAAAUGGUCAAAACACUGGGCAAUAAAUAUGUGAUCCCCUCACACAAUUAUUUCUCCAAAGUGGCAUUACCUACACUGUAUGAAAAAUGUCAGGGAAAAAUAGAGAGGGAAAUCACGACUGUCGAGUUCUUUGCAACCACGACUGACCUAUGGUCAAGCAGAACAAUGGAGCAGUACCUGUCCUUGACAAUUCACUACAUUGACGGGAAUUUUCAAAUGAAGAGUCUGUACUUGCAGAUGUCAUUUUUCCCACAAGACCACACUGGAGAAGCUAUAGCUGAGGGACUGCAGGAGGCACUGGCUUCUUGGAGCCUGCAAGAGACUAGUCUGCAUCACAACAGACAGUGGCCCUAAUGUCGUCAAGGCAACUUCUCUAAAUAAAUGGACGAGACUUCAGUGCUUUGGCCAUAGGCUCCAUCUAGCAAUUGGUGAGUGGGACGAAUAAAAAAUACAAUUUAAAAAUUUACACAUAAUUGAAUUGUAUGUAAUAUAUGCUAAUAUAAUGGAGUGAAUGUCAAUGGAUGAAUUAUGAAAUGUUAUAUAAUAUGAAAAAAAUGAUUGGAUGAAUAUGCAUAUAUUAUAUUCUGUUUUAAUUUAACAUGAGUCUUAUGUUCUUUUAUAGAGAAUGCAAUGAGAGAUCCACGGAUUGACCGUGUGGUAGGCAUCUGUAAAAAACUUGUCAGCUGUUUCUCCCACAGUUGGAGGCGUAAAAAGGAGCUAGCAUUGGCUCAAAAGGAGCUGAAGCUUCCAGAGCAUGGGCUGAAGAUGGAACACCCACAAGGUGGGGAUCCAGGCAGGCAAUGAUUGCAAGAGUUCUAGAGCAGCAGAGGACUAUUUCACAAGUCUUAUCUUCUGACCAAAAGUCAAGACACCUCAUCCCAACAUGGCAGGACAGUGACAUCCUGGAAGCCAUCAACAGAGUCCUCUACCUCUGAUUGAGUUUACUGAUGCACUGUCCAGUGAGAAGUAUGUCAGUGUUUCUUUUGUGAAGCCAGUCCUCCACCUGUUCAGCUCCUCUAUCCUCAAAGUAAGUGAUGAUGUUCCAGACCUGACCAACACCAUCAAAACCAAAAUCCUCACUCACUUGGAGGAAAGAUACAAGGAUCCAGAGACACAAGAACUGCUUGAUAUGGCCUCUGCCCUUGAUCCACGCUUCAAGCUGAGAUACAUCAGUGAAGACAGGACUGCAUCAAUCCAGGAGAAGGGCCCAGCAGAUUCAUGUGGAGGGACUGCAGAGGAUGCACCCAGUACAUCAAAGAAAAAGAAGACCUUGGGGAACUUCUUCACGGUCACUGGGACAGCCACACCAAGAUCCUCUCCUCACCAGGAACAACAGGCUGUUGAAUCUGAGCUUAGGGCUUACCUACAGUGUGCCAACCUUGACAGUAAAGAGGACCUGCUGGACUAGGGGAAGGAACAUCAGAAACUCUACCCAUGACUUUCGAAGCUGGCAAAAAAGUACCUGUGCAUUCCUGCAACAAGUUCCUCGUCAGAGAGGGUCUUUAGUACUGGGGGAAAUGUAGUUACCUGCCAUUGCUCGUCUCUCAAGCCAGAAAAUGUUGACAGGCUAGUGUUUCUUGCCAAAAACCUGUAGGCCUAAUGUUAUUGCCUUUUCUGUAUAAGCUGUAAUUGUUUCCAUUGAGUUGCACUUUGUAAUUGUACUCUGCAAUAGCAUAUUUUUUCAGUUAGCACUGAACUUUAUUCUUAUUUAAAGUUUCAUUUUGCACUGAAAAGGCUUCAUAUAUUGUUUGCUUAAAAGUAGUGCAAUAAAAAUACAGAUAUUUUCCCUAA
This is a long non-coding RNA of Acanthochromis polyacanthus (spiny chromis), 2489 nucleotides long. RefSeq lists it as uncharacterized. The transcript has 2 exons. NCBI's taxonomy places the organism in Eukaryota, Metazoa, Chordata, Actinopteri, Pomacentridae. The record is from RefSeq and is a predicted model, not a curated record.